RNAcentral lists this transfer RNA (63 nucleotides) under Stygiocaris lancifera. RNAcentral's name for it is "tRNA-Arg". The record is from RNAcentral. Lineage: Eukaryota; Metazoa; Arthropoda; Malacostraca; Decapoda; Atyidae.
GAUUAAAAAGCGAAAUAUCGCACUUAGUUUCGACCUAAGCUUUGGUGGUAUCACCUUUAAUCU